This 787-nucleotide ribosomal RNA is filed under the name uncultured archaeon. RNAcentral describes it as "bacterial SSU rRNA". It matches the Rfam family "Archaeal small subunit ribosomal RNA", at positions 85 to 879 of the family's 1478-position model. The record is from RNAcentral.
ACUGCUCAGUAACACGUAGCUAACCUACCCUUAGGUUAGGGAUACCCUCGGGAAACUGAGGUUAAUACCUAAUAGAAGUGAGACCCUGGAACGAACUCACUUUCAAACUCGCGCCUAAGGAUGGGGCUACGGCGGAUUAGGUUGUUGGCGGGGUAAUGGCCCACCAAGCCGUUGAUCCGUAAGGGCUCUUAGCGGAGGGGCCCUGAGAGGGAAUCUGAGACACUAUUCCCAGCCCUACGGGGUGCAGCAGUUAGGCAUAAUCUGCAAUGCGCGAAAGCGUGACAGUUUGAGCCAGAGUGUCUACUCUUAGUAGACUUUUGUGGAAUGUAAAAAGUUCUACGAAUAAGGACUGGGUAAGACUAGUGCCAGCCGCCGCGGUAAUACUAGCGGUCCAAGUCGCAGCCACUUUUAUUGGGUCUAAAACAUCCGUAGCUUGCCUAAUAAGUCUCUUGUGAAAUCUUAUGUCUUAAGCAUGAGGCGUGCAGGAGGUACUGUUAGGCUAGAGACUGGGAGACGUAGGAAGUACGUUCGGGGUAGCGGUAAAAUGUGUUAAUCCCAAAUGGACUCACAAUAGCGAAGGCAUCCUACGAGAACAGUUCUGACAGUCAGGGAUGAAGGCUAGGGGCGCAAAACGGAUUAGAUACCCGUGUAGUCCUAGCAGUAAACACUGCUCACUAAACAUCGGGACCUCCUCGAGAGGUUUCGGUGCUGCAGCGAAGGCGAAGAGUGAGCUACCUGGGAAGUAUAGGCGCAAGCCCGAAACUUAAAGGAAUUGGCGGGGGAGCAC